UGGGGAAUAUUGGACAAUGGGCGAAAGCCUGAUCCAGCAAUGCCGCGUGAGUGAUGAAGGCCUUAGGGUUGUAAAGCUCUUUUACCAGGGAUGAUAAUGACAGUACCGGGAGCAUAAGCUCCGGCUAACUUCGUGCCAGCAGCCGCGGUUAUACGAGGGGAGCUAGCGUUGUUCGGAAUUACUGGGCGUAAAGCGCGCGUAGGCGGUUUUUUAAGUCAGAGGUGAAGGCCCGGGGCUCAACCCCGGAAUAGCCUUUGAAACUGGAAAACUAGAAUUGUGGAGAGGUCAGUGGAAUUCCGAGUGUAGAGGUGAAAUUCGUAGAUAUUCGGAAGAACACCAGUGGCGAAGGCGACUGACUGGACAAGUAUUGACGCUGAGGUGCGAAAGCGUGGGGAGCAAACA
This 402-nucleotide ribosomal RNA is filed under the name uncultured bacterium. Its description in RNAcentral is "bacterial SSU rRNA". It matches the Rfam family "Bacterial small subunit ribosomal RNA", at positions 355 to 774 of the family's 1533-position model. The record is from RNAcentral.